UCCAGACUCCUACGGGAGGCAGCAGUGAGGAAUAUUGGUCAAUGGACGAGAGUCUGAACCAGCCAAGUAGCGUGAAGGAUGACUGCCCUAUGGGUUGUAAACUUCUUUUAUAAAGGAAUAAAACGAGGCACGUGUGCCUUUUUGCAUGUACUUUAUGAAUAAGGAUCGGCUAACUCCGUGCCAGCAGCCGCGGUAAUACGGAGGAUCCGAGCGUUAUCCGGAUUUAUUGGGUUUAAAGGGAGCGUAGAUGGGUUGUUAAGUCAGUUGUGAAAGUUUGCGGCUCAACCGUAAAAUUGCAAUUGAUACUGGCAGUCUUGAGUACAGUUGAGGUAAGCGGAAUUCGUGGUGUAGCGGUGAAAUGCUUAGAGAUCGGGAGGAACACCAGUGGCGAAGGCGGCCUACUGGGCUUUAACUGACGCUGAGGCACGAAAGCGUGGGUAGCAAACAGGAUUAGAUACCCUAGUAU
RNAcentral lists this ribosomal RNA (466 nucleotides) under uncultured bacterium. Its description in RNAcentral is "partial 16S ribosomal RNA". It matches the Rfam family "Bacterial small subunit ribosomal RNA", at positions 330 to 793 of the family's 1533-position model. The record is from RNAcentral.